RNAcentral lists this ribosomal RNA (607 nucleotides) under uncultured bacterium. RNAcentral describes it as "bacterial SSU rRNA". The stretch from base 1 to 525 matches the Rfam family "Bacterial small subunit ribosomal RNA", at positions 338 to 873 of the family's 1533-position model. The record is from RNAcentral.
CCUACGGGAGGCAGCAGUGGGGAAUAUUGCGCAAUGGGCGAAAGCCUGACGCAGCGACGCCGCGUGAGGGAUGAAGGUCUUCGGAUUGUAAACCUCUUUCAGCAGGGACGAAGCGAAAGUGACGGUACCUGAAGAAGAAGCACCGGCUAACUACGUGCCAGCAGCCGCGGUAAUACGUAGGGUGCAAGCGUUGUCCGGAUUUAUUGGGCGUAAAGAGCUCGUAGGCGGUUAGACACGUCGGAUGUGAAAACUGGGGGCUCAACCCCCAGCCUGCAUUCGAUACGGUCUGACUAGAGUGUGGUAGGGGUAACUGGAAUUCCUGGUGUAGCGGUGAAAUGCGCAGAUAUCAGGAGGAACACCGAUGGCGAAGGCAGGUUACUGGGCCACCACUGACGCUGAGGAGCGAAAGCGUGGGGAGCAAACAGGAUUAGAUACCCUGGUAGUCCACGCCGUAAACGGUGGGCGCUAGAUGUGGGGACCAUUCCAUGGUUUCUGCGUCGCAGCUAACGCAUUAAGCGCCCCGCCUGGGGGAGGUACGGUCGCAGACUAAACUACAAGAAGUAGACGGCGUGAGACGUGCCGAACGGACGACGACGAGGGAGGUAGG